CUAGCGCUCGGGCCCCGCCCCCACGUGCCCCGGAGUCCGGGGGAGGAGUUGGCGCUCGGGAGGAGGCGUGGCCGUGGUGCCAGCGGAGGCGCGGGCGUUGCGGCCGGGACUUUGGUUUUGACACGGACGGCGAACGGGAGCAGUGUCUGUGGUGCUGGGGUGUGGACGCGGUUCUUGCGGAUCCCGCGUUCGAGUCGGGGGCAGGACUUUUUGUCUGGAUCAACGCAACCGCGGCAACGCAGCGAGUCCUGGUGUAGCCGCAAGACUUGGUGCAGCCGCAAGACUUGGUGCGGCUGCAGCGGCCGGAUUUCACCGCCGCUGCCGCCUCCGCAAAGCCCUGCAGCUCCUGCCGGUUCUGGGAGAGAGACUCUUGAGAGUUUCUCCAGCAGAAAGAGCUGGGACGCGCGGCCCGAGGCGGCGUGGGAGGGAUCCCGCGGCCCGCCCCUGACCCGCACCCGCGUGGGCCCUGGCUCUGAAGGCGGCGGGCCAGCGCUGUCCUGGCCUCAGGCCUCGGAGCCGCAGGUGGAAGGAGGAAGCCCUGGAGGAGCGGCUGAGAGGUGGCCAAGUGAAAGGUGAUUUGGACACGCUGGGCAUGGCUAUUUAGUGUUUGUCUGUGGUAACCAUUUCAUGCCCUGAAUCCUGCACCUUCCCUUCUGUGCCUGUGAGCUCUACUGCGCUUCCUUCCUAGCCAGAGAGUUCUUCUGUGGUGGUGAGGCCUUCCUGGCCCCUUGAUCCUGGCCGGCCAUGGGGAGCACCCUGGGCUGCCACCGCUCCAUCCCCCGGGACCCCUCGGACCUGUCCCAUAGCCGCAAGUUCAGCGCGGCCUGCAACUUCAGCAACAUCCUGGUGAAUCAGGAGCGGCUCAACAUCAACACGGCCACGGAGGAGGAGCUGAUGACCCUGCCUGGGGUGACACGUGCGGUGGCACGCAGCAUCGUGGAGUACCGCGAGUACAUCGGUGGCUUCAAGAAGGUGGAGGACCUGGCACUGGUCAGUGGCGUGGGUGCCACCAAGCUGGAGCAGGUCAAGUUUGAGAUCUGCGUGAGCAGCAAGGGCAGCUCGGCACAGCACUCUCCCAGCUCCCUGAGGCGGGACCUGCUGGCGGAGCAGCAGCCUCACCACCUGGCCACCGCCGUGCCUCUCACCCCGCGCGUCAACAUCAACACAGCCACCCCGGCUCAGCUCAUGAGCGUGCGCGGCCUCACGGAGAAGAUGGCCAUCAGCAUCGUGGACUACCGCCGCGAGCACGGGCCCUUCCGAAGCGUCGAGGACCUGGUAAGGAUGGGCGGGGUCAGUGCCGCCUUCCUGGACAGGAUACGGCACCAGGUGUUUGCCGAGAGGUCCAGGCCCCCGUCCACCCACACCAACGGGGGCCUGACCUUCACCGCCAAGCCUCACCCCAGCCCCACCUCGCUGAGCUUGCAGAGUGAGGACCUGGACCUGCCCCCAGGGGGGCCUACACAGAUCAUCUCCACUCGGCCUUCGGUGGAGGCCUUCGGAGGCACAAGGGAUGGGCGGCCCGUGCUGAGGCUGGCCACCUGGAACUUGCAGGGCUGUUCAGUGGAGAAGGCCAACAACCCUGGGGUGCGAGAGGUGGUGUGCAUGACGCUCCUGGAAAACAGCAUCAAGCUGCUAGCUGUGCAAGAACUACUUGACAGAGAGGCCCUGGAAAAGUUCUGUACGGAGCUAAACCAGCCAAUCCUGCCCAACAUCCGCAAGUGGAAGGGGCCCCGAGGAUGCUGGAAGGCCGUUGUUUCGGAGAAGCCCACGACUCAGCUCCAGAAGGGCGCUGGGUUUGCAGGGUUCCUGUGGGACACCGCGGCUGGGGUGGAACUGAGAGAUGCCACCUGGCAGGAGAGCUCGCCUGGCAAUGGGCACGGGAAGCCCACAGGCCCCAGCCCGUACCUCGUGAGGUUCAAGGUGGGAAGUCAUGACUUGACCCUGGUGAACCUUCACCUGGCAGCCCUGACCCUCCCAGGGGGUGAGAACCCCAGCAAGAGUCACAGUGACAGCCACUGCUGGGCUAGCUUCGUGCAGACCUUGCAGGAAACCCUGAAAGGCGAAAAAGAGGUGAUAGUUUUAGGAGAUUUCGGCCAGGGGCCAGACAGCAGUGACUAUGAUAUCUUGAGGAAAGAAAAAUUCCACCACCUGGUCCCCGCACACACCUUUACCAACAUCAGCACCAAGAAUCCUCAAGGCUCGAAGACUCUGGACAACAUCUGGAUCAGUAAAAGCUUAAAGAAGGUUUUCACAGGUUGGGUUCUCGCUUAGGUCCCCGUGAGACCAGGAUUGUAAUGCCGAUUUCACAGCCGAAGAAACUGAGGCUUAGAGAGCUUCACCUCCUGAAGGUCACACAAGCUAGUUCCCCUCAACUGGAACAUGAGCUUUGUGGUUUCCCAACAGUGUGUCAUCCUGGACUGUCCACUGGUCCAGCUGAGCUCUCAAAAAGAAAGAUCCCCAGCCAGUGGAGCCUGUCACGUGGACACUGGUCAUCCGGCCUGCAUUCCACUGAAAAAGACCCAAAGGCCCCAUAAGGGUGCAAGACUGCACCUCACGGUUCCCCCUGGUGGAGAAACUUGGUAGGACACUCAGUAAGUCAUCUCUCGGGGAUGGAACCUGUGAUUUGUUCUAUUUGAGUUGACAGGAGACGGCAGACUGACUCUGUCCUCCAGAAGGAGUAAAAGCCGGGCUCAGACGUGGCAUCUUAAGUGGCAUCAUCGCUGGGCACACUUAGCCUUUGAAAGUCUCGAUGGCCAGCCAGGCUGCGGAAUGAUGGAGCCUUUCCCUAGUAGAGCAUUAGGCUAUGGAAGCAGCGGUCUGGUCCUCUGCUAGCACCUGGCCGCCUAGUCUCCUCCCUGCCUGGGCCUGUGAGCCUUUAGCCCAGAGGCAGGAUUUUCAUAAAACUUACAGAAUUAAAAGCUCAAGUUUUCCAGAAGCGUUAAGAUUAAUUAAUAAUCAGAUGGUCUAUCUCUUCCCUCUUCCCCUGCACAGUAAAUAUGAGAGGAUUGAGCAGAGCUUAAAAUCCAAAGAAUACUUAAAUUGACAAAUUGUGGUUAGUUGUUGAAGCUGGGUGAUGAGAACAUAGGAGUUCAUGUCACUCUUCUUUCUACUUUUGUCUAUGUUUGAAAUAUUCCAUGAUCACAAUGAAAUAAAUGCAUAAAUAAUAAAAGGCCCAA
RNA transcript from Orcinus orca (killer whale), 3176 nucleotides. It is a transcript of the gene named endonuclease/exonuclease/phosphatase family domain containing 1, with no coding region annotated. The record is from RefSeq and is a predicted model, not a curated record. The transcript is spliced from 9 exons. NCBI's taxonomy places the organism in Eukaryota, Metazoa, Chordata, Mammalia, Artiodactyla, Delphinidae.